Molecule: ribosomal RNA, 497 nt
Filed under: uncultured bacterium
Lineage: Bacteria
Description: partial 16S ribosomal RNA
Rfam family: Bacterial small subunit ribosomal RNA
Source: RNAcentral
GAUGAACGCUGGCGGCGUGCCUAAUACAUGCAAGUCGAGCGAACAGACGAGGAGCUUGCUCCUCUGACGUUAGCGGCGGACGGGUGAGUAACACGUGGAUAACCUACCUAUAAGACUGGGAUAACUUCGGGAAACCGGAGCUAAUACUGGAUAAUAUAUUGAACCGCAUGGUUCAAUAGUGAAAGACGGUUUUGCUGUCACUUUUAGAUGGAUCCGCGUUGCAUUAGCUAGUUGGUAAGGUAACGGCACACCAAGGCAACGAGGCGUAGCCGACCGGAGAGGAUGAUCAGCCACACUGGAACUGAGACACGGUCCAGACUCCGACGGGAGGCAGCAGGGGGGAAUAUUGGAGAAUGGGCGCAAGCCUGAUCAAGCAAUACAGCGGGGGUGAAGAAGGCCUUCGGGUUGUAAAGCCCUUUUGUUGGGAAAGAAAAGAAGCAGGUUAAUACCCCGCUGUUCUGACGGUACCCAAAGAAUAAGCACCGGCUAACUUCGUG